This 434-nucleotide ribosomal RNA is filed under the name uncultured bacterium. Its description in RNAcentral is "partial 16S ribosomal RNA". It matches the Rfam family "Bacterial small subunit ribosomal RNA", at positions 29 to 507 of the family's 1533-position model. The record is from RNAcentral.
AGCGAACGCUGGCGGCAGGCCUAACACAUGCAAGUCGAACGAACCUUUCGGGGUUAGUGGCGGACGGGUGAGUAACACGUGGGAACGUGCCUUUAGGUUCGGAAUAACUCAGGGAAACUUGUGCUAAUACCGAAUGUGCCCUUCGGGGGAAAGAUUAAUCGCCUUUAGAGCGGCCCGCGUCUGAUUAGCUAGUUGGUUGAGGUAAUGGCUCACCAAGGCGACGAUCAGUAGCUGGUCUGAGAGGAUGAUCAGCCACAUUGGGACUGAGACACGGCCCAAACUCCUACGGGAGGCAGCAGUGGGGAAUCUUGCGCAAUGGGCGGAAGGCUGACGCAGCCAUGCCGCGUGAAUGAUGAAGGUCUUAAGAUUGUAAAAUUCUUUCACCGGGGACGAUAAUGACGGUACCCGGAGAAGAAGCCCCGGCUAACUUCGUG